UGAGCAUAAUAUGAGCACUUUAAGGCGGAUUUAUGCUUCUACAGAGGCUCCACGCAGAGGUUUUUCGCCAUAGCCUACGUUACCUGGCCUGAAGUUUCUGCUUGUGCGCUGUUGUCUGUGCCGAUCUCUUUAAGAGAAGAGAAGGAGCGGCAUGUGUGUGUGCGUGGGGAGUGUGUGACUCUAAAGUGUCUCCCCUGUUCUUUCUGACCACUGUCGGAAAUCCGUAUGUUAUGGCUGGGGUCGGCUGGCUGUGAGUCUUUGUUUUUGUUUCCUAGUUCUAUUUGAUUUCCACUGUCGGUGUCCUCUGUUUGCCUGCCUUUUUCUGUUUCCUGUGUUUUUCCCCUCCUCCCGCUUUCUCCUGCCAGCUGACUGCACACACCUGCUCGUCGUUCCGCCAUCACCUCUCCCUGCCGUACACACCUGCCAGCCAUCUACAAUCAAGCCCAGUAUAUAGACCCCGGAUUCACUCAUCAUCUCCGCGUGAUCGUUGCUUCAGCCACCUGGUUAUCUCCUCCAUUUCGCUCCGCUACCUCCAGUCAGCUGGCUUCACCAUACGGUCCCCUCCUCACGGCUCCCUGUUCUGCCCCGCCUCCCCUCCUGUGUUCAGCCACUCCUCCUUUGACUCCCCGGACUCCAGUGCCUCCUCCUCGGCUCCCCUGGCCCUGGUUUCCCCGCGCUCCCCCAGCUCCUUCUCCAUCCUACCUCCAGCCCCAGAAAACCCUCACUGCUGCCCCCGGCAUCCACCUCCCCACUCCCAUCCAGUUUCUGUUGCCCAAUUAAUCGGUUUUGUCGAGCCUU
Long non-coding RNA from Perca fluviatilis (European perch), 798 nucleotides. RefSeq lists it as uncharacterized. The record is from RefSeq and is a predicted model, not a curated record. The transcript has 2 exons. Lineage: Eukaryota; Metazoa; Chordata; Actinopteri; Perciformes; Percidae.